GACGAACGCUGGCGGCGUGCCUAAUACAUGCAAGUAGAACGCACAGUUUAUACCGUAGCUUGCUACACCAUAGACUGUGAGUUGCGAACGGGUGAGUAACGCGUAGGUAACCUGCCUGGUAGCGGGGGAUAACUAUUGGAAACGAUAGCUAAUACCGCAUAAUAUUAAUUAUUGCAUGAUAAUUAAUUGAAAGGUACAAUUGCACCACUACCAGAUGGACCUGCGUUGUAUUAGCUAGUAGGUGAGGUAACGGCUCACCUAGGCGACGAUACAUAGCCGACCUGAGAGGGUGAUCGGCCACACUGGGACUGAGACACGGCCCAGACUCCUACGGGAGGCAGCAGUAGGGAAUCUUCGGCAAUGGACGAAAGUCUGACCGAGCAACGCCGCGUGAGUGAAGAAGGUUUUCGGAUCGUAAAGCUCUGUUGUAAGAGAAGAACGGGUGUGAGAGUGGAAAGUUCACACUGUGACGGUAUCUUACCAGAAAGGGACGGCUAACUACGUG
Molecule: ribosomal RNA, 505 nt
Filed under: uncultured bacterium
Lineage: Bacteria
Description: partial 16S ribosomal RNA
Rfam family: Bacterial small subunit ribosomal RNA
Source: RNAcentral